Molecule: long non-coding RNA, 463 nt
Organism: Oreochromis niloticus (Nile tilapia)
Lineage: Eukaryota; Metazoa; Chordata; Actinopteri; Cichliformes; Cichlidae
Exons: 3
Source: RefSeq, a predicted model, not a curated record
UGAUUUAUUUUGUGUUCAUAUCACAUGGAUGGAUGUGAAAUUAAGUUAUGAUUGUUUUGUUUUUUGUCUGUUUCUAGAGGAGACGUCGUUCAGGUUGUAGGACUUGGUGGUUAUAGGGUAAAUGCCAGCAGCCACCCACUCCCUGAUGAACCACCUAAUCUUCAGUGUGCAGACAUGCGUGUUGCUGACUGUGAGCCUACCAGAUACUCUCAGUGUACUGCAUAUGUGCCAUAUAACGACAGGCUGUGUCUAGAAGAACAUCAAGUAGAUGCACGUGGGGGUGAUUCUGGUGGUGGAGUGAUUUACAACAACAUGAUUUAUGGUGUAAUCAGUUCUGGUUUUGAACGUGUCUGUACUGGACCAGCUGUUACUGUGAAUGUUUGUUCUUACAUGAACUGGAUAAAUCAGAAAAUUGCCCAAAAUAAUGGAAAAUAACUGAAUGAAAAUAACAUCCAGAAUAAAC